UGCAUCCUGAAACUAAUAGUAAUGGCCUUGGGGUCCCCUGUAGUUCCAUAUAUUUUAUUUAGAUAUAUAUGGAACUACAGGGGACCCCAAGGCCAUUACUAUCAGUUUCAGGAUGCA
Molecule: microRNA precursor, 117 nt
Filed under: Alligator sinensis (Chinese alligator)
Lineage: Eukaryota; Metazoa; Chordata; Crocodylia; Alligatoridae
Description: mir-63 microRNA precursor family
Rfam family: mir-63 microRNA precursor family
Source: Rfam by way of RNAcentral